RNAcentral lists this ribosomal RNA (768 nucleotides) under Staphylococcus chromogenes. RNAcentral's name for it is "bacterial SSU rRNA". It matches the Rfam family "Bacterial small subunit ribosomal RNA", at positions 59 to 812 of the family's 1533-position model. The record is from RNAcentral. Lineage: Bacteria; Bacillati; Bacillota; Bacilli; Caryophanales; Staphylococcaceae.
CAGUCGAGCGAACUGACGAGGAGCUUGCUCCUUUGACGUUAGCGGCGGACGGGUGAGUAACACGUGGGUAACCUACCUAUAAGACUGGAAUAACUCCGGGAAACCGGGGCUAAUGCCGGAUAACAUAUCGAACCGCAUGGUUCGAUAGUGAAAGACGGUCUUGCUGUCACUUAUAGAUGGACCCGCGCCGUAUUAGCUAGUUGGUGAGGUAACGGCUCACCAAGGCAACGAUACGUAGCCGACCUGAGAGGGUGAUCGGCCACACUGGAACUGAGACACGGUCCAGACUCCUACGGGAGGCAGCAGUAGGGAAUCUUCCGCAAUGGGCGAAAGCCUGACGGAGCAACGCCGCGUGAGUGAUGAAGGUCUUCGGAUCGUAAAGCUCUGUUGUUAGGGAAGAACAAAUGUGUAAGUAACUGUGCACAUCUUGACGGUACCUAACCAGAAAGCCACGGCUAACUACGUGCCAGCAGCCGCGGUAAUACGUAGGUGGCAAGCGUUAUCCGGAAUUAUUGGGCGUAAAGCGCGCGUAGGCGGUUUUUUAAGUCUGAUGUGAAAGCCCACGGCUCAACCGUGGAGGGUCAUUGGAAACUGGAAAACUUGAGUGCAGAAGAGGAAAGUGGAAUUCCAUGUGUAGCGGUGAAAUGCGCAGAGAUAUGGAGGAACACCAGUGACGAAGGCUGCUUUCUGGUCUGUAACUGACGCUGAUGUGCGAAAGCGUGGAGAUCAACAUGAUUAGAUACCCUGGUAGUCCACGCGUAACGAUGA